UUUAAAGUCUAACCUGCCCAAUGAGGAGUUAAAUGGCUGCGGUAAUUUGACCGUACAAAGGUAGCAUAAUCAUUAGUUUUUUAAUUGAAAGCUGGAAUGAAAGGUUGGACGAGAAAAUGACUGUCUCAAUUUAAUUUAAAUUAGAAUUUUAUUUUUAAGUAAAAAAGCUUAAAUAAUUUUAAAAGACGAGAAGACCCUAUAGAAUUUUAUAUAUUUUAAGAUAAAUGUUUUAAAGUUAAUUUUUAUUUUUAUUUAAAAAUGUAUUUUGUUGGGGUGAUAGAAAAAUUUAAUGAACUUUUUUUUUUUUAUAUCAUUAAUUUAUGAUUAAAUGAUCCAUUUUUUAUGAUUAGAAGAUUAAAUUACCUUAGGGAUAACAGCGUAAUUUUUCUUAAGAGUUCAUAUUUAAAGAAAAUUGCGACCUCGAUGUUGGAUUAAAA
Molecule: ribosomal RNA, 437 nt
Filed under: Pachypus sp. BMNH 694786
Lineage: Eukaryota; Metazoa; Arthropoda; Insecta; Coleoptera; Scarabaeidae
Description: partial 16S ribosomal RNA
Source: RNAcentral